UGGGGAAUAUUGCACAAUGGUCGCAAGCCUGAUGCAGCCAUGCCGCGUGUAUGAAGAAGGCCUUCGGGUUGUAAAGUACUUUCAGCGGGGAGGAAGGGAGUAAAGUUAAUACCUUUGCUCAUUGACGUUACCCGCAGAAGAAGCACCGGCUAACUCCGUGCCAGCAGCCGCGGUAAUACGGAGGGUGCAAGCGUUAAUCGGAAUUACUGGGCGUAAAGCGCACGCAGGCGGUUUGUUAAGUCAGAUGUGAAAUCCCCGGGCUCAACCUGGGAACUGCAUCUGAUACUGGCAAGCUUGAGUCUCGUAGAGGGGGGUAGAAUUCCAGGUGUAGCGGUGCAAUGCGUAGAGAUCUGGAGGAAUACCGGUGGCGAAGGCGGCCCCCUGGACGAAGACUGACGCUCAGGUGCGAAAGCGUGGGGAGCAAACAGG
This 429-nucleotide ribosomal RNA is filed under the name Chloroflexota bacterium. RNAcentral describes it as "Chloroflexi bacterium partial 16S ribosomal RNA". It matches the Rfam family "Bacterial small subunit ribosomal RNA", at positions 355 to 776 of the family's 1533-position model. The record is from RNAcentral. Lineage: Bacteria; Bacillati; Chloroflexota.